UCCCUUGUGGCUCAGAUGGUAAAGAAUCUGCCUGCAAUGCAGACGACCUGGGUUCGAUUCCCCCUAGAGAA
RNAcentral lists this transfer RNA (71 nucleotides) under Bos taurus (domestic cattle). It matches the Rfam family "tRNA". Rfam says of the family: Transfer RNA (tRNA) molecules are approximately 80 nucleotides in length. Their secondary structure includes four short double-helical elements and three loops (D, anti-codon, and T loops). RNAcentral also lists the same sequence under 1 other name. Lineage: Eukaryota; Metazoa; Chordata; Mammalia; Artiodactyla; Bovidae. The record is from Rfam by way of RNAcentral.